CCAAUAUCCCUGAAACGUUCAAAGGAGUGGUGUUUGUCAUUGAGUUCUUGUCGGACAAAGCAAGUAAGUCAUCUUCUCCAAUUUCCAUUACAUUUUAUUACUAACUUGCUGAUUUUUGAUGAAUCAGGUACCUACACUAGAAUCUAAACCAAUGCCGGUUCAUUUCAAGUAUCAUCGUCCAUUCAAAGAUCAAAUCCAUGCCGUGGACCUAGGAAUUGCUCUAACAACCAGAUUUGAGUUUCUAAAACCUUCACUUUGUUGCUUGUUUCUAAUCUGCCAGUUUUGUUUUUAACUUGCUGUUUGUGUGUUUCUUUGUGUUUUGUGUGAGUUUAUGCUUGAAACAUUGAGGACAAUGUUUGAUUUAAGUGUGGGGGGGGGUAAAUAAGUGUUUUUGAUGCAAAUUCGUGGGAUUUUAUCACCCUUUACUUAUAGACUUGUUCCUUGCUGUUUUUAAACUCUUUUGGUGUGUUUUAGGGUGUUUUGAAGUAAAAAUCCGAAAAUCACAUAAAAAUUUGAAAAAUUGGUUUUAAAAACCCAAAAAGAGUUGUUUUUGUGUGUUUGUUUGUGUCUUAGGGUACCUUCCAACACAAUGAUGAGGAUUCGGUUUGUAAUUACAUGGCUGUUAAAGAGAGUGAUUAACGUGGAUGAAAGUUUGAUUUACUCUUUGUUUAUGCUUGGUUGUGGUUAUAACUUAUGAAUUCACAUGCAAUCAUAAAAGAAAAAAAUCAGUUUUUGUAACAUGCUUGAAGGAAGGAACUCAAACUAACGCUACAACCUUGUGAGACCUGAGCCUAAAAGUUUAUUUGGAGAGUUAAAAUCUGUGCAUUCUUUGUUUUCUAAGUCGUUGCGUGAUCUCAUUAUUCCUUGCUUGGUUACUAUUUAGAAGGCGUUUCAUCAUUUAGUUCCAAAUGCUAGAACUCAUGCCCAUUUCAUUCAAAGCAUGUUAUUGAUUUGCAUAACACAUAUUCAAGAUGAAGUUGAAGUUGUGUAGUGACCACCACCUUAGCCAAAUGCCGUGUGCCCUAUGUCAUUAUGUUUUGUAGGUUUUUAACCCCGUUGAGCCUUGUUAGCUUUCAUUAUUUGUUAACCCAUGUUUUCCUCACCUAGCCUAGUUUAGGACCAUCCAUACCCUUGUUCUUAAAGCAUAGUAAAGCAUGAUUCGAAUUGAAUUCCUUUUGAUCUAUGUUAGCAGAAAACAAGUGUGGGGGAAGUGUUUUCAUGAGGAAUUGUGUGCCAUAGGCACGGCAAAGAAAAGAAAAGAAAAAAAAAGAAAAAAAAAGAAAAUUUCGUGGAAAAAGAAAAAAAAUUGAAGAAAAAAGUAUGAAAAGUUUGAAAAAAGAGUUGAAAAGUUGAGAAAAAGAGUUCCAAAGUAUUGUUUGUUGAAGUAAGGGUCCAAAACAAUGAAU
This 1406-nucleotide long non-coding RNA is filed under the name Malus domestica (apple). Its description in RNAcentral is "long non-coding RNA (MDOM_LNC019615)". Lineage: Eukaryota; Viridiplantae; Streptophyta; Magnoliopsida; Rosales; Rosaceae. The record is from RNAcentral.